GUAAAGAUGCACAUUAUUAGUCUCCUGGCUUUCCCAUUUUGCAACGCUUCAGGCUUGAAUGCUUGAUGCUUUUCUUUCUUCCACCGUUUGGCUCUUUUCCGUUUCUUACUUUGCAAAGCUUAAAAAUCAAAUGGAUCCCCGUACAAGAGAAAUUCCAUUGCCUCUUCCUCCCCCUUAACCUAGCAGCGCCGCUGCUCACAUGAGUGAGAGAGAGAGAGAAUUGAACUCGAUGGUGUCUCUGCAGUUCGGGACGGUGAACACGGAGGCUGGGGAGCUCUGAUCUUCAAUCGUUAGUUUCACCACCAUAUCUCUCCAUCUGCGACUACAAGUUCCAACGCAAAGUUGUUCAUCAGAAGUUGCAAAAUGCAUUUGAAGAUGUAAUGUAGAUGUGAUGAUGAAUACUACCACUAAAAGAAGAAUUGGAGUGAAGUCAUUGUUGAGUUUCUUGGCAUGCAGCGAUGAAUUGCAAGGAAUGCCUCAUGUCUAAAAGGAAAGGUGGCCAAGGAAAUUCUGCAUUUGGAUUGGUAAGGGCGAAAACCUUUGCGUCAUGUGCACUUCCUUCCCAUCCUGAAUACACAUAUGUGAACAUCAUAUUGAAAUCACAUGCACACAUAACAUUUUGUGUGACCGUUGUCUUUCUACCCCUGCAUGACACUUGUUUUUCAGUAGGAACCCAUGCGCUUACAUGUGUUCCAUCGAUCGCACCUACACAAUUCUACAACAAAAGCCAAAUAAAAGAAAUUGAAACUAGAUCGCAGCAAUAUGACAUUUAUAUAAAUAGGCUUAAAUACUCUAGAGGUCCCUGAAAUUGUGUGGCAUAUGAAAAUAAGUCCCUGAAAAAAAAAAUUCCGAUUCCGGAUCCCUGGAAAUUUUUUUUUAAUCGAAAUAAGUCCCUACCCAUGUUUCAUGCUUAUGUGGCUCAUUUUUUACACAAUCACAAUUUCCACGUGGAUUUUUUUAUUUUAUUUUAUGCCAAGUGUGUUAAUGAUUUACAAACAGAUCUGCUAAAACUCAUUUUCUCUUCUCCACCAACAGAUCUGCCUCUUCCCUUCUCCACCCACAAACCCAUUUUCUCAAAACCCAUCACCAUCACCCUCUUCUCUUCGUCAACCACCCCAAGAUCUGCAUAAUCGCUGAAAACGACCUCAACCACGAUGACAUUGCCAACGAGCUUGGCUUGCUCUCAGAUCUCGCGCUCUUCCAUGUCAACUCCAACAAGUUCUGUGGGACAAGUUAUGGGUUUUGGGGUGUGGGUUUCGAUGGGUUGGGGUUAUGGGUUUUGAGACUCCGAUUGCUGGGAGAAGAGGGAGAACCAAGUUCUGAUGCGGGUUGCUGGGAGAAGAGGGAGAACCAGAAGAAGUUGAAGGUUGAAGGUUUCGAUGGUGGCUGGUGGUGGUGCGGUGGGGUGUGACGGUUUCGGGGUGGGGGCUGGUGGUGGUGCGGUGGAGAGAGGAGCAAAAGAAGUUGAAGGUUUUGAAGGUUUCUGGAAGUAUGAAGAAGAGGAUUGAGGAAGAUGGAAAGUUAAAAGAAAAUUAAAAUUAAAAGAAGAAGUCCACGUGGAAAUUGUGAUUGUGUAAAAAAUGAGCCACAUAAGCAUAAAACACGAGUAGGGACCUAUUUUGAUUAAAAAACAAUUUCCAAGGAUCCGGAAUCGGAAAAAAAAAUUUCAGGGACUUAUUUUCAUACGCCACACAAUUUCAGGGACUUCUAGAGUAUUUAAGCCAUAUAAAUAUGACAUUUAUGAUGAAGUUAAUUACCUUGAACCAAGGAUAAUAUUUCUUGUUAUUCUUAAUUCUAUCAGGCAUUUCUGUGGACUCUUGUUUAAUCAACUCUUUUCCAAACCGACAUACUGCCCUUAAAACUUCCUUGAAAUAACGAGAAACUGUUUCUGUGGAGUGUUGGAAGCGGUUAGCAGCAACUCUAUGGCGAACACUGUGGCCAAUUAUGAACAAAAACAUGGCAACUUUUCUUCAAGAAGGACAUCCCUUGAGUCGCUCAAGUAGUUCUUUCCCCUCAUUUCAUUACAAAAAUUGAGAAAACAUGUCUUCUCCAUUCGAAAUAAGUCAAAGCAAGUCGUUCCAGAUCCAUUUAACAUCUCAGCAACAAAUGCACGACCAUUUAGAGCAGAAUUGUGCACACUUGCUUUAUUUAAAAAUUUUUGAUAAUAUUGAUACACUAUGUCAACUAUCAUGAGGUCAUCAUCAUCACUUGAUUCAUCAGAAGAAGAAAAAUCAUCGGAGCUACAAGCAUCACUUGCUGAGUUAAUAUUAUCAUCUAUUAAAACCAUAACCUGUCAUGAAAUUCCAUCACAAUGCAUUAAUAAAUAGCAAUUCAAUCAUUAAAAUCUAAUCAAAUCAAUAACACUAAUGGAGGCCAAUGAAAAUAAUAUCAUAAUACUGGAAAAAAUUAUGAAAUCAGUCAUACUAAUCAAAGAGAAAUAAUAACGAAAAUACACCAUAAUACUAAAAGUAUAUCAAAUUCAAAAUCUAACUUAAAAGAAGCAAAAUUUGGCCUUAAAGUCUAACUAGCCAUCCCUUUCUCCUAUCACUAGGCAUGGUAAGAAAUGUUUCUCUCCACACAAGCUUCUCAAAAUUUUCUAUGGCUUUUGCAAAAAGAUCAUCUGAAAUAUAUUCAAUCUCUCCAAGAACAGCCAUACACUUGGCCAUAGAAUAGUCAGAAGUAUUCUCCACGUUCUUAGCCAUAAGUUUCUCAGCUCUAGCAAAAUUAAUCACUGCCCUCGCCUUAGACGCUUCAGUCCAUGCUGCAAGUGCCUCUCCCAUUUGAUUUGAUUUAGACUCUUUCUUGGGUUUUUGCUCUUUUAUAGGCAUUUUGCGCUUUCCACUACGUGAGAUGUGCUCCACUUCAUCGUCUGUACUAUCCUUAUCAAUAUUUACAUGAACCCCAGUGUUAAAGUAUUGAUCUUCAAGCUCAUUUUCUUCAUCUGUAUUUGGUGGGUCUUGGGUAGAGGAAUGAUGCAAUACUCCAGUUGCAGUACUUCUAUUGAAUAUGAUGCCCAAUAAUUUAUAAUGCUCACAUCCUUUCUUCUGAAAUUGAGCAGCCUCUUUAUGUGCCUAAAAUAAAGCAACUAAUUAUUCAACUAAUUGUUAAGAAAUUUUACAUAUAUAUUAAACUAUAACCUCACAAAUAAAUAAUAUUUAUUGCUAAACUAAAUCAUAC
Molecule: long non-coding RNA, 3177 nt
Organism: Lotus japonicus
Lineage: Eukaryota; Viridiplantae; Streptophyta; Magnoliopsida; Fabales; Fabaceae
Exons: 5
Source: RefSeq, a predicted model, not a curated record